Molecule: ribosomal RNA, 445 nt
Filed under: uncultured soil bacterium
Lineage: Bacteria
Description: bacterial SSU rRNA
Rfam family: Bacterial small subunit ribosomal RNA
Source: RNAcentral
AGAGCGAACGCUGGCGGCAGGCCUAACACAUGCAAGUCGAACGGACCCUUCGGGGUUAGUGGCGGACGGGUGAGUAACACGUGGGAACGUGCCUUUUGGUUCGGAAUAGCUCCUGGAAACGGGUGGUAAUGCCGAAUGUGCCCUUCGGGGGGAAAGAUUUAUCGCCAUUAGAGCGGCCCGCGUCUGAUUAGCUAGUUGGUAAGGUAAUGGCUUACCAAGGCGACGAUCAGUAGCUGGUCUGAGAGGAUGACCAGCCACAUUGGGACUGAGACACGGCCCAAACUCCUACGGGAGGCAGCAGUGGGGAAUCUUGCGCAAUGGCGAAAGCCUGACGCAGCCAUGCCGCGUGAAUGAUGAAGGUCUUAGGAUUGUAAAAUUCUUUCACGGGUACGAUAAUGACGGUACCCGGAGAAGAAGCCCGGCUAACGUUCGUGCCAGCAGCCGC